AUGCACAUAGUUUUGUAUUUCCAGUUGCCUACGGUGUGCUGGAAACAGAAUCCGAGGAGAGCUGGACUUGGUUUUUUGCAUAAUCUGCGCCGGGCUAUUGCACAUCCCAAUGGGUUGGUCAUUCAUAUAGAUGCCUGCAAAGGUUUAGAAGUGGCCGUGGACAAUGUGUUCCCUGGAGUAGAGCAUUGGGAAUGGAUGCGUCACCUUGCUGCAAAUUUCAUGAAGAAAUUCAAAGGAAAGUUGUAUACCGACAAUUUAUGGCCAGCAUCUUUGACUUGCAGUGUGAAGAAGCACAACUACCACUUGAGGCAGUUAUACAUGAAUCCCAAAGUGAAAGAAUACUUGGAAACACACCACUCCAAGUUAUGGGCUAGAAGCCUAUUCAGUGAACUGAGCAAAGUUGACUACGUGCACAAUAAUCUAGCAGAGUCUUUCAACUCAACGAUCUAG
RNAcentral lists this ribosomal RNA (450 nucleotides) under Triticum aestivum (bread wheat). Its description in RNAcentral is "partial small subunit ribosomal RNA". The record is from RNAcentral. Lineage: Eukaryota; Viridiplantae; Streptophyta; Magnoliopsida; Poales; Poaceae.